UUUUGGACAAUGGGCGCAAGCCUGAUCCAGCCAUUCCGCGUGAGUGAAGAAGGCCUUCGGGUUGUAAAGCUCUUUCGCAAGGGAACCCCCACUUACUUUCUAAUAAAGAGUGAGGUUGACGGUACCUUGAUAAGAAGCACCGGCUAACUACGUGCCAGCAGCCGCGGUAAUACGUAGGGUGCGAGCGUUAAUCGGAAUUACUGGGCGUAAAGCGUGCGCAGGCGGCUUUGUAAGUCAGAUGUGAAAUCCCCGAGCUCAACUUGGGAACUGCCCCCGAAACUACAAGGCUAGAAUAUGUCAGAGGGGGGUAGAAUUCCACGUGUAGCAGUGAAAUGCGUAGAGAUGUGGAGGAAUACCAAUGGCGAAGGCAGCCCCCUGGGAUAAUAUUGACGCUCAUGCACGAA
RNAcentral lists this ribosomal RNA (404 nucleotides) under uncultured bacterium. Its description in RNAcentral is "bacterial SSU rRNA". It matches the Rfam family "Bacterial small subunit ribosomal RNA", at positions 362 to 757 of the family's 1533-position model. The record is from RNAcentral.